GUUAGGCACUUUAAGGCAGUGUCAGGUUAGUUUGUGUUCCCAAUCGCGUUCGGAAAUGCAUUGUAGUUUUCUUUUCUGCUACAAUAGCCAAAAUUCGCUUUUGGCAACGUAAUUAAUUCACUGAACUCCCGGAAGUAGCAGUACUUGAAAAACCCCGCCAGGGGUUGCAAGUUGUCACGGGGUCGUGCUUUUCAAAGAAGUUAUUUCGGGGGUCUGGGAUUGUGGCUCAGAGGUAGAGUGCUCGCCUAGCAAGCACGAGGCAGUGGGUUUGAUCCUCAGGACCACGUAAAUGUAGAAUAAAGAUUUUCUGUGUCCACCUAAAACUUAAGAAUAAUUUUUUUUAAGGAGUUAUUUGGAAGGUACAAUUAAGAAUUGUUAUUGGCGCCCGUUUCGCAUAAGCUCUGCAGUGCUGCACAUAGGCGAGCUGAAAUGAUUUGCAUCCAAGCGCAACAGGCCAGGGAAGCUCCUUCAGGUUAAAAUGUUGAGCAAGGAACCCAGCAACGUGGAGAAGCCACUUUCUUAAAAUCUUUAAUCAGGAGAUAAGCAUUUGCUGGUUCAGAGAGGUAGCUAUCAGGCUGGGAUUUGAGAGUCCAUGAUUUGAUUAUCAGCAAAAGAGGUUGGAGAACCUAGUGCCUUAAAGAACAGAUAUCCAGCAAAGCCACAGAGGUAGGCAGAGAGACAGACGCCAUGGCUCGCUAGGAGUAUUCUGGAGACUUUCAAUGCUUGAUGUAAAAUUCCUCAAUCUCUCCCUCCCCAGUAUCCCAAUGGUGCUUAAAUUCUCCUUCCUGGCAUUUCAUAGUAUUAAUACCUCUGCCACCUGUUAUCCUCUGUGCCAUAGAACACUUGUAUUGUAAAUCCAUGUUCUACCCUCCCAGGAUCUCACCAGGGACUCCAAAACCACCAUUUAAGGCCUUUCUGUUGCUCUGUCUUCCUUUUCCUUGAAGCUAUGGGUUGCGUUCUCUGUCUUGUCACAGGCAACAAAGAGCCCCAAAGUCAUACUAAUAGGCCAGCGGAUCUUGAAAAAUGCACGGAUUUAUGGUUUACUUUUCUAAAACAGGGUUUCCUCCCUCAGUUCUGCGCCGUCAUUCAGGCUGGACGCACUGGGACUGGGGACAGUCCUCAGAAGAGCUGCCUUCCUGGUGUUCCUGAAUUUGUAGGCCUCACAAUUGUCACCUCCCUUCAUUCUUUGCUUUCCGGGAAGACUGUUCCCUGUCUUUGAGGGAUGAACCUCCGGAGCCGGCGGGAGAAGACUUAUUGCCCUCGUGUGGUAGAAGACGAACCCACGCCCAAGGCGCUGUUCUAAGGGGACUGAGACCAUCUCUCUGUGCCGCAGUCUACACGUUAGAGGAAGGUUUCCACUGAUGGUCUUAACUGAAGGAUUGAAGUUUAAGCGUGGGCGAGGGGAGGCGAAUGGGGAGG
This 1419-nucleotide long non-coding RNA is filed under the name Marmota monax (woodchuck). Lineage: Eukaryota; Metazoa; Chordata; Mammalia; Rodentia; Sciuridae. The record is from RNAcentral.